Non-coding RNA from Pelobates cultripes (western spadefoot toad), 377 nucleotides. The record is from the annotation of a GenBank genome assembly. Lineage: Eukaryota; Metazoa; Chordata; Amphibia; Anura; Pelobatidae.
AAGUAAGAAAGCAAUGGUUUGGAUAAAAGGCCUUAAAUCAGACUCCAGUAACGCAGCAAAUGUCACUUGAAAGAGAAGGAUUCGUGAAAAAGGAGGGGGGAUACGAGAAAGCAAUUUAAGGACAAUUCAGAAAUAAAUGAGGGCUCCUUUCCAUACGGCAAAGCAAUCUUAACAAAUGAGAGAAUGAACCUGCCGAUAUAUUAGCUUUAACCGCAGGGAAGAGUUUUAGGUUACAAGGGAUAAGAAUGUCAAUUACCACACUUUUAUCCUUUAUGUUCUUUCAUAAAUGAUACCAUCUAUUAUUGAAGAUCAAAUGGGGACAUUUUCCUUUAAAAAGUCUCCUUGUGCUUACUCUUGCCAAUCUUUACUCCGUCUUG